UACGGGGGGGGCAAGCGUUGUUCGGAAUUACUGGGCGUAAAGGGCGCGUAGGCGGGUGAACAAGUCUCUCGUGAAAGCCCACGGCUCAACCGUGGAAUUGCGGGAGAUACUGUCUGACUUGAGUCCGGGAGAGGAGGGUGGACUUUCCAGUGUAGCGGUGAAAGGCGUAGAUAUUGGACGGAACACCGGUGGCGAAGGCGGCUCUCUGGACCGGUACUGACGCUGAGGCGCGAAAGCUAGGGGAGCAAACGGG
This 253-nucleotide ribosomal RNA is filed under the name uncultured bacterium. Its description in RNAcentral is "partial 16S ribosomal RNA". It matches the Rfam family "Bacterial small subunit ribosomal RNA", at positions 524 to 776 of the family's 1533-position model. The record is from RNAcentral.